GACGAACGCUGGCGGCGUGCCUAAUACAUGCAAGUCGAGCGGAUCGGCGGAUGGGUGAGUAACGCGUGGGUAACCUGCCCUUCAGUCUGGGAUGCUAUUUGGAACCAGAUGCUAAUACCGGAUACUAAAGGCUGGACUUUGGAUGCAUUAGCUAGUUGGUAAGGUACCGGCUUACUAAGGCGAGGAUGCAUAGCCGGGUUGAGAGACUGAUCGGCCACAUUGGGACUGAGACACGGCCCAAACUCCUACGGGAGGCAGCAGUAGGGAAUCUUCCACAAUGGACGAAAGUCUGAUGGAGCAACGCCGCGUGAGUGAAGAAGGUUUUCGGAUCGUAAAGCUCUGUUGUUGGUGAAGCGGUAAUCAACCAGAAAGUCACGGCUAACUCCGUGCCAGCCGCCGCGGUAAUAC
This 408-nucleotide ribosomal RNA is filed under the name uncultured bacterium. RNAcentral's name for it is "partial 16S ribosomal RNA". It matches the Rfam family "Bacterial small subunit ribosomal RNA", at positions 28 to 526 of the family's 1533-position model. The record is from RNAcentral.